This 1428-nucleotide long non-coding RNA is filed under the name Canis lupus familiaris (dog). Its description in RNAcentral is "lncRNA (ENSCAFG00030005292.1)". The record is from RNAcentral. Lineage: Eukaryota; Metazoa; Chordata; Mammalia; Carnivora; Canidae.
AUGCCCAGCAGAGCCAGGUUUACCGUAUGCCAGAGGGGGGUCCCGAUCGCGACCCCUGCAGCUCGUUCCUGCGGAGGGAUGGGGGCGGGGAGCACACCGCGCACAGCGCGUCUCCUACGGUUUGGGGGUUCAUUUACCCCCAAGCACACCCACCCGCCGGGUCACGCGGGCCUUCGCGGGGUCGUCGUCCAUACGCAGGCCCGGCUGCGCCCGCGGCAGGGAUCUCGGCCAACACCUAGUGAGCCCAACGCCGGGCCAGGCGGCGGAGCCGAGCCGGGGACGCUCGUACCGAGGGGUUCCGGCGCUGGAGCCGCCGAGCCGGUGCCGGGUCCGAGUCCCGAGUCCCAGGAAUGCGGGAGGGCUGGGCGGAGCGGGCGGGCACGGCGGGGGCGCUUCCUCUGCCCGCCCGAGGGGAGCCGCCAGGGCGCGCGCUGGGCGCGCCCCCGCCCCCUCCCCGCCCGGCCGGCCCGCGGGGAGGGGGCGGGGGCGGGGGCGGGGGUGGGGGCCGUAGCGGGAGGGCGGCGAGGGGCCGCGGAGCUCGGCAGCCGCCGGGCCGGCCGGGCGGGAGGAAGCGAUGAAUAUUCAGAGGGGGAGGGGAAGGGAGGGGGCCGGGCGCUCGCCGCGGCUCCCUGCAGCCCGAGCCGCAUGACGCGCGGAGGAGGCAGCGGGAGCCGCCGGAGCCGCCGGAGCCGCCGGAGCCGCCGGAGCCGGGAUCGGGGCGCCGCGCGCCGGGGGUGGGCGCCGCUCGCUCCGCCCCGCGAAGCCCCUGCGCGCUCAGGGACGCGUCCCCCCCGCGGCAGCCGCGCCAGGCUCCGCGCUGUGGCCGCCGCCGCCGCCGCCGCCGCUGCCAUGUCCCCGGGGAAGCCCGGGGCGGGCGGAGCGGGGACUAGGCGGACGGGCUGGGGGAGGAGGCGGAGGAGGCGGCGGCUGGAGGCGGCGACGCGGGCGCCCGGGCUGGGGCGCACGGCGGGGCCCGGCUCGCGCGUCCCGGGCACGUUCCAGGGCGCGCGGGGCAUGAAGCGGGCGGCGCGGGAGGCGCGGCCGCCUCCGCGCUCGCCGGGGCUGCGCUGGGCGCUGCCGCCGCUGCUGCUGCUGUUGCGCCUGGGCCAGGUGAGCGGCUGGGUGGGCCCGGGCUCGGGCCCGGGCGGGCGCGGGCGCGGGCGCGGGGGCGGGCGCGGGGGGCAUCCCCUGCACCUGCCCGGGUGUGCCGGGCCGCCGGGGUGCGGGGGAGGUGGCGGGGGCCCGAGAGCCGCGAGCCCCCUUCGCCGCAACCCCGCCGGCCUGGCGCGGGCCCCGGGGGGCGCGGGGCGGGAUCCGGGGUGCGGGGGCCCGGGGCCUCCGGGCGGCUGCCCCCGCGCGGGCUGCGGGCCCCCUCGGGCCCGGCCCUCCUCGGAGCUGGCCACGUCUGGCCGGCGCGGGCCCGGCUAG